This 403-nucleotide ribosomal RNA is filed under the name uncultured bacterium. RNAcentral's name for it is "bacterial SSU rRNA". It matches the Rfam family "Bacterial small subunit ribosomal RNA", at positions 356 to 773 of the family's 1533-position model. The record is from RNAcentral.
AGGGAAUAUUGCGCAAUGGAGGAAACUCUGACGCAGCGACGCCGCGUGAGUGAUGAAGGCUUUCGGGUUGUAAAGCUCUGUUCUCAGGGAAAAAGAAAGUGAUGGUACCUGAGAAGAAAGGACCGGCUAACUUCGUGCCAGCAGCCGCGGUAAGACGGGGGGUCCAAGCGUUGCUCGGAAUCAUUGGGCGUAAAGGGGGCGUAGGUGGCUUUGUAAGUCAGAAGUGAAAGCCCUGGGCUCAACCCGGGAAGUGCUUUUGAUACUGCGAAGCUUGAAUGUGGUAGAGGAUAGUAGAAUUCCUGGUGUAGUGGUGAAAUACGUAGAUAUCAGGAGGAAUACCUGUGGCGAAGGCGGCUAUCUGGACCAACAGUGACACUGAGGCCCGAAAGCGUGGGGAUCAAAC